Long non-coding RNA from Dendronephthya gigantea, 317 nucleotides. RefSeq lists it as uncharacterized. Lineage: Eukaryota; Metazoa; Cnidaria; Anthozoa; Malacalcyonacea; Nephtheidae. The transcript is spliced from 4 exons. The record is from RefSeq and is a predicted model, not a curated record.
CCGUUGGAAAACUAAAGAAGGGAUUGUCCUGGACGAAUUUAGCGGCUAAUCAUCUAAGAAAUGAAGAUUUUUAUUCCCACAAGAUCUUGUAAUGAAUGAUCUUUUCCGAGAUUUGUGGAAAAAAUAUUUGUAUUCUGUUCAGCAUGUUCCGAUUUUGUAUAAAGACAAAAUAUAUCCGAGACAGGCGCGGAGAAAAAUAUUGAACAUUGCUUGGCUGAAAACAACCUGAACUCUUUAUGGAUGUGCACGUCGUGGCCAAGAUGAGUUGCCAGCCAUCCCAAUUCAUUUUGAUCCAUGUCAACGAGCUGCGACACAGU